CACGAUGCUGCAAGAUGCUACAGCCGCACGAUGCUACUGCGGCACGGUGCUACUGUGGCACGAUGCUAAUGCCGCACGAUGCUGCUGCGGCACGGUGCUACUGUGGCACGAUGCUAAUGCCGCACGAUGCUACUGCGGCACGAUUCUACUGCGGCACGGUGCUACAGCGGCACAGUGCUAAUGCCGCACGAUGCUGCUGCUGCAAGAUGCUGCUGCUGCAGGAUGCUACUGCGGCACGAUGCUGCUGCCGCACGAUGCUACUGCGGCAGGAUGCUAAUGCCGCAUGAUGCUACGGCCGCAUGAUUCUACAGCUGUACAAUGCUAAUGCCGCACCAUGCUACAGCCGCACGGUUCUACAGCUGCACGGAGCUAAUGCCGCACAAUGCUAAUGCUGCACGAUGCUACUGCGGCACGGUGCUACGGCCGCACAUAGCAACCAUUGUUCAUCUGAUGGACAGAGAACCAGUUUUGGUUCAAGAACCAGAAAGGAUCAACUUUCCCCACAAAACAAGCCAGACUCUGGUUUGGGUCGGCUCCAGAACAAUAGCCGGGUUGUGAUUGCUGUGGCGUGUGGGGCCUGCUGCGGGAAGGAGGCGGCCCGAGGAAUGCAGCAACGUUCUGCCGGUCCUUGUUCGGACUCCCACAGGUUCUGCAUGCCAACAUUCCCUUUGCAUGCAGAGCUGCGUCUCUGACCGGACCAUCUGCCCGUUGGCCCGCUAGUUACUGCAGCUAACCACUGAUUCUGAUGCAGUGUAACCGGAGCCUUUCUGCGUUGUGCUGGUUUUAUUGAUUGAUCAGGCUGUGACACAGUUUGUCUUUAAAAUGGAUGAUUUCUUGAUUUAUUCUGACGAGAACAAACAGAAAGCAAUCGUUACAGGCCGCCUGCUCCAAGUCCUACACAAAACAAAAAUACAUAACAGAAUUUAACUUAAUAAAUCUAACAGUGUUGUGUCAUCAGGACUCAGUAGCUCAAUAAGCAGCGUUGCUGCAGAUCCUUCCUGCAGCUGUUAGAUUCCAACCAUCGCUGCCUCCACCAAACUGCAUUAGUAUUCAAACCCCUGCAGUUUUUAUUUUCUCUUAUCGACAAUAAUCUAAUAAAAAAUAAAAAAAAACAGUUUUUUGAGUGUAAAAGUUGCAUUUUUGAUAAAAUUCAACUUUUGCUGUUAAAAUCCUCGCUUUACUGGAUAUUAUUUUAUUUGUUUUUAUUUUUCAUGUUUUAUGAUACUUUGCUGAUGUUACACCUGAAUUUUCCUCCUGAGGAACAACUUACUGUUUUACUUCUCUGCUGUUAUUGCACGUGUAUUUUUUACGCUAAAGUCAUUAUAUUCUGUUCCACUUCCUUUGGAUCAUGAAGACGAUAUUUCUGUUAAACUGUACACUAUGAUAUUAAUGUAUUUAUAAAUGUUUGACCUUUUGUGUGACCUUGGUGUCUGUUGCAAACCACAAGCAGCUUCAUGACUCAGAAUCCAACCUGGAAGAUCAGCAGACAUAAGAUCUUAAAUUGAGAUUCAGACACACAGACAGAAUCUGGAAAAUCCAAACAUCAAAUUUUAUUUUGAAAUGACUUGUUUCUGUUUUCUUUUUUGCAUGGUUUUUUUUGGAAAAUCUUCACCAAAUGAUAAAAGAUAGAAAAAUGAAAACAAUAAAACUCUUGUAGAAACUAAUAAAGACAGAAAAAUGAUUCUUUUUCUUUAUUCUUGGGGCAGGGAGAGUUGAAACAGAAUAAAACCAAGCGCCUCACAUCCUGCAGGAGCAGCCAAUCACAGCGCAGCGUCUUCCAGCUCCCAUGAUGCACCUCUCUCCACUAAGGCAGCCGCAUCACCGUUUGCAUGAACCGAUCUGCAUUU
This is a long non-coding RNA of Xiphophorus hellerii (green swordtail), 1847 nucleotides long. RefSeq lists it as uncharacterized. The record is from RefSeq and is a predicted model, not a curated record. NCBI's taxonomy places the organism in Eukaryota, Metazoa, Chordata, Actinopteri, Cyprinodontiformes, Poeciliidae. The transcript is spliced from 2 exons.